Molecule: transfer RNA, 68 nt
Filed under: Stegodyphus mimosarum
Lineage: Eukaryota; Metazoa; Arthropoda; Arachnida; Araneae; Eresidae
Rfam family: tRNA
About the family: Transfer RNA (tRNA) molecules are approximately 80 nucleotides in length.
Source: Rfam by way of RNAcentral
CCUCGUGGUGUAGUGGUCAGCACGCUCGGCGCGUAUUCGAGAGGUCCAUGGUUCGAAUCCAGGCGAGG